AGGGACGAAAUGGUCCCUGACCGAAGAGAGAAGGAACUUCUGGCUAGUAUUAUCCCACUUAUCUCUCCAAGCAUCUAGUGGAGAGACAGAGAGACACAGGAAAAUGGCAGGCAACGCCACCGGCCGCGGCUGCAACGCCGCCGUUAUCUCACUGUCAGUAUCAACACCACCGUCCCAAAAGUUCCCCAUAAUACCUAAACAACUUGUAUACACUAAUAAGUGCUCAACUUUCUCUAUUAGAAUUGGCCGUGCUCAAAUUUCUUCACCAACUCCGAUUCACAACCCACGUUCUUCUUCAUCUUCAUCUCCUGUUGCCGUAGAAGAAGAGAAAACUGGGUCUCCUCCUACCGACGAUAAUCUUCCUUUCCAAUCAGAAUCCAAACUCGAUUCUGAUUCUCUCCCUUCUCCCAGGUGUGUGGAAUUGAAUUCUGAAACCUGUUUCGUGUAGCUUGUUAUUUAUAUGAUUCUCAUUUCAAUAAUUAUUCACUGUAUUCUUUUGUAAGCACAAACAAAUUUAUGUUAAUGUUACAAGCAAUUUGGGUGGAAGAACUAACUAGUUGUUAAAACUCGAGGCAACUCGAUAUGCCCAACGCACGCUUUCUGGUUGUUAAAAAUCACUACUCUAACUAGCAUUCUACCGGUCUUCCAGUCCGCUAUCCACGUGAAGGUCCUUCACAAUGGGUGCCUAUUGUGAUACAAAAAAUGCAAUUACUUUUAUUAGAACUCACACUUUAAAUCGGUUUGUAAACUCCGGUUUCAAAGCAGCUCUUGAUCCCUGGAUCUGAGCAGGAUCUCUUUAUCAUCCGGGGUCAAUUUUGAAUCGCUCGCGAGAUAAUCUUACCGCAAUUGGUAAAUGUUGAUAAAUAAACAUCUGUCUCUCAGUAAUUCUUUUCUCCGCUAAUCACCCCUUCCCAACUAGCCUGCCUUAUCAAUCUUGUAAGAUUGGCUAAUUCAGAGGAGUUAAUCUGGUCAGAAGUUGUCGGAACAAUGGAAACGGUGACCAGCAUGACUUAUGGACUAAAAGUUAUGCCUUUCACGAGCAACGUAGUAUUCAAGUUGUUGUACGACACAAAGAUUACUUCUGCAAUAUUUUCUUUCCAUGUGGGUAGAUUAUUAGCUGUUUUUUAAUACAAGUACUUUGAUGUACUUAUAUUGUGUUUCCUUUGGCUCCCUUUGCUUUUUUCUUGUCCUAGAAAUGUUUUAACGACGUGAAUCUGUUCACUGAAUGAAAUCAUAUCCCUGUUAGAUUGUGUUUUUUGGUUAAAUAGUAGUACUAGUACCCUUUUCUAUCCUUGAAUUGAUUGAGCGCGUAGGUUUACGAUUUUAAUACUAUAAACAGCACUGUUCUAAUGAGAACUCUUUUUGUAGUUUGCAGUAGAUACUUAUCCCUUUUUAUCUGUUAAUUAAAUCUAAAUAAUUCAUUAAUACCUGCAACAUAUACCCAAAUGUUUGCCUUAAAACUAUUAACUGGCACUUAGGACUAUCAUGCAAUUGAGAUCCUUUAUGUGAAGUACUUUAAAUGCCUUCUCUUUUAUUCUUUCCCAUUGUUUAUAUCAUGAGUUAUGACCUUAUUGGCUACUGUGAAAUUCAGACUAAGGGUUGCUUAAAAAAUAAAAAUAGUUCUUACUUUUUGGCAAGUAAGAGCUGCUGGAAGUCUUCAAAAAGUAACUUUUAAAAUGCUUAAACAUAUUUGGUAAAUAAAAAGCUACUUAAAAGUAACAUCUAAGCUUAGCCAAACAUGCUUGUAAUCCAGUGUUAACACUAGGAUCUUUUCAUAUAGGUAAAUCAGUGUGAAUGUGUUGCUCCAGCUAUAAUGAAAUCCCAGCUAUUUCAUGCAUGAUACUAGAUGAAAAAGUUGUUAACUUUUGAGAUAGAGUUCAAAGAAUACUUGCCAAAAUAGAGAAGGAAAUCACCGUUUCAGGUAGGAAUUAAAGAAGGUUUAUUACCCGAACGGCUGGCUUGUUGAGUGAUUCCAAUUUACUUUGUUGAAAGUUCUUGUUAUUUUAAAAUAUAAAUUACUGGCAUUUGAUUUGAGAUAAUAAUACUAUCUUAUCUGCAUAUGUAAUUUUCAACAGGGGCUGUAAGGCAUGUGGAAGAGAGGAGAUUGAGAGGGGCUGUAAUGGUGAGGGAAGGAUACAGGGUGGGAUUGCAACAGUUCCAGGCUUUGGUUGGUGGCCAAUAAAGGCUUAUAGGCCUUGUCCGGCAUUUGUGGCUUCCGGUGGGAGGUACAGACGAAUUGGACAAAGCAUGGAUGAGGUUACCUCGGGGAGAAGUGGGAGAGGCGCAUCCAAGAAAACCAGUGAUGCGGCUGAAUAGGUAUUUUUAAGCUACCUUAUACUCUACUUUUUGCUCCAUUGAUGAAUAAUACCACUAUGAUACCUGAGUGUGGUGACCCAAGGAACCUCCCCUAGAUGCUUGACACGUAUCAAACAUCUUGAAACUUCAAGAUGUUUGUCCGACGUGCCAUGUGACAUGUUCUUUUAUUCAAAAUUCUCACCAUCACAAGGGACAGUUCUCAAUGUGUCUCUCAACCUUAAUGGUGUCCGCCACACCAUAUGGUGUGUUUUUAUAUUUUCUAAUUUCCAACAUGGGUGGACAUGUCCUCCCAUGGGGUACCAUUUGUUCUAGCACAGGGCACCUUGCAGCAAUAAUCUACUUUGCUAGACUACCUUCUAUUUAUCCUCGAAUCAAUUUGAGAUGGAAAAACAAUUUAAGAAAGCUUUACAAUGGUAGAUUUGGAUGUAUUGAAAUUAGUAUGUUCAUUGAUUAAUGGAAGCACUAAAUUGCGAGUGCUCAUAUAGGGGCCAAACACCAGAAAGCUUGAUUCUAAACUUCGAAUAUGAUUUACCCAUAUAAUAGCUCAAGUAAGAAACUCCUCCACAAGAUUCUUUUACAAGUGAACGGUUGUGGUCAUUGACUCCUUGACAUGUCAAUUACAUGGUAAAACCUAAUUGUAAAUUUGAAAACAGAGAGAUAUAUUAAUAUCAAAAUAUUUAUGUGUCAGCAUAAUGUGAGAAAAACUAAAUAGACUUAAUGUUGAUUUUUUAUUUUUGGGUAUCUGCUACGUGCACGUUUUGAUAGAUAAUGAAUACUAUUUUAUCAACUCUAGUAAUACACAGUACAACCUGAAGUUAUCUUAAUGCAACAAAGUCACUCAAAUUCAGAAAUGAUGCCAAAACAAUGUAUUAAUCUUACUAAAAGGUAAAAGAAUUAUUAAAGUAAGUAUAUAAAAUAAAACUGUAUGAUUUUAAAGAAUUUCAUAAAUUUGUUUAUUGUCCUCCUUGAAAAUUUGUGUUUGUAUUCGUGCUUCAUGGCUGAAAUGUUUUUCUUCCUUGUACUAUCAAAUCUACCUACAGGCAUAUCUAUCGACUUUAAUAUAGUAUGGGGUGCGAAAGGCGCCACCAAUGUACUGUGAAAAGGACAAGCUACAUAACUCAGAUGAAGUUUACCAGCUUUAUGAGUGUAAUUACAUAUUCAUUCUUUUUAAAGUUGAUUGAUAACUAGCUCCUUUCGACUCUCUCACCGAUGAUUUUUCAGUUGUAUUGGAAUGUUUUCUAUUUACAUCAUUACAUCAUUUAUUUUUAUCACUUUAAUCAGAGAUUGCAUGUCUCAUAUUUGAACUCUGGCCUUGUUUAUUUCCUUCAAGAAGGAUUCAGAUGAGGUAGAAUGUUUGGACUUGCUGCUUCUACAAAAGAAGCAGCUUAUUUCAAUCGUAUGAUGUACUGCCUAAAGAGCCAUUGAGUUCUCUUUUGGCUUUUAAGCUUAGCCAUCCAACUCGUGAAGUAUCAGUUACUUCCCAAAUGACCAAAAGAAAGAAAAAACUGCCGCCAAAUGAAACUACUCAGCUUCCUAUUUGUGAAUUGUGAUGUGGGUUGAUUCUCUUCUCGUGUUGAUUUUUGUCCAGUAGGAUUUCUACUUUUGAUCAUGCCUUCCUUUCAUUUGAUAUUUCAGCCUUCAUGGAGAAAUGCUUAGCUUCACUAGAAAUUGGAGUUUCUGCAUUCUAAUGCACUCGUCUGGAUAGAAGAUUGUCAAUAUUCUUGUCUAGAAGAUUAAACUAUUUGGAGAGCACAUUUAUUUGAAUUGUGUCUUAAACACAUUCCCCUACCCUAUGGGCUGGAUUUAUUUUUUCACGAGAGGUAACACGUGCUCAAUUUCUAUAAAUGGGUGGCGGCGAGUUUCCAAUACAGGAUCUUUCGUGAUACAUCUUUACCAACUCCUCUAAAAGCUUUAGUUAUUAGAAAAGGGAUACAUUUUUUUUCAUAUGAAUUAUAUCUUCAUCCUCUCCACCUGCCUCCUGAAUUCGUUUUUUGGUAGAAUAGGUGACGGCUAGAUUUGAAAUAAUGUUUCUCUGCAUUAUCAACUAAAAUGAAUAAUAAUGUUUUUUCCCUUUGUAAAAUUUUGCAGCAAGAAGAAACAAAAAUCCCAGGAGAUUCAAGAUGUAUGUGCAGAAUUUGUCAUUAUUUUUACUUGUCAAAAGAAAGAAUUUGUCAUUAUUUUGCCUCUUGCUCAUAGGAGAAAAUAUUAUAAAAAUGAUGUCUCAGUUGUAUUAUUUGAACAGUUUCAUUACAAAGAAAUACAAAAACUAUUAGGGCAUAUUUG
This 4599-nucleotide long non-coding RNA is filed under the name Olea europaea subsp. europaea. The record is from RNAcentral. Lineage: Eukaryota; Viridiplantae; Streptophyta; Magnoliopsida; Lamiales; Oleaceae.